Molecule: ribosomal RNA, 250 nt
Filed under: uncultured bacterium
Lineage: Bacteria
Description: partial 16S ribosomal RNA
Rfam family: Bacterial small subunit ribosomal RNA
Source: RNAcentral
UACAGAGGGUGCAAGCGUUAAUCGGAGUUACUGGGCGUAAAGGGCGCGUAGGCGGUGUUGCAAGUGAGAUGUGAAAUCCCUGGGCUUAACCUAGGAACCGCAUUUUAGACUGCAAUGCUAGAGUACAGUAGAGGGUAGUGGAAUUUCCGGUGUAGCGGUGAAAUGCGUAGAGAUCGGAAGGAACACCAGUGGCGAAGGCGACUACCUGGACUGACACUGACGCUGAGGCGCGAGAGCGUGGGGAGCAAAC